GCGCCUGUAGCUCAACUGGAAAGAGCAUCAGUUUCCUAAACUGGGGGUUGGGUGUUCGAGUCACCCCAGGCGCA
Molecule: transfer RNA, 74 nt
Filed under: Candidatus Margulisiibacteriota bacterium
Lineage: Bacteria; Bacillati; Candidatus Margulisiibacteriota
Description: tRNA-Arg
Rfam family: tRNA
About the family: Transfer RNA (tRNA) molecules are approximately 80 nucleotides in length. Their secondary structure includes four short double-helical elements and three loops (D, anti-codon, and T loops).
Source: RNAcentral